UACGUAGGGUGCGAGCGUUGUCCGGAAUUAUUGGGCGUAAAGAGCUUGUAGGCGGUCUGUCGCGUCUGCUGUGAAAAUCCGGGGCUCAACCCCGGACUUGCAGUGGGUACGGGCAGACUAGAGUGUGGUAGGGGAGACUGGAAUUCCUGGUGUAGCGGUGAAAUGCGCAGAUAUCAGGAGGAACACCGAUGGCGAAGGCAGGUCUCUGGGCCACUACUGACGCUGAGAAGCGAAAGCAUAGGGAGCGAACAGG
RNAcentral lists this ribosomal RNA (253 nucleotides) under uncultured bacterium. Its description in RNAcentral is "partial 16S ribosomal RNA". It matches the Rfam family "Bacterial small subunit ribosomal RNA", at positions 524 to 776 of the family's 1533-position model. The record is from RNAcentral.